RNAcentral lists this long non-coding RNA (634 nucleotides) under Olea europaea subsp. europaea. The record is from RNAcentral. Lineage: Eukaryota; Viridiplantae; Streptophyta; Magnoliopsida; Lamiales; Oleaceae.
UAAUAAUUUACAUACAGAUGAAUUGUCAAAAAAGAGUGGGAAAACUUUUUAUACACGUCGGUAAGGGAUGUGUUUGGUGAAAUAAAAUCAGCUUUCAUUUGAUUAUGUUGUAUGUUAAGUGAUUUAAUCUUUUUUCUUUCUAUUGACACAUAAAAAUUCAGCCCAAAUCGAACGGCCCAAGGAAUGAAGUCCAAUUGGAGGAUCCCCAAAUCAGAUAGCCCAAAGAAUGAAGCCCAAUCAGACAAUUCAGAAUGAAGGCCCAAAUAGGGAGUCCCGCGAACUCGGUAACACCAUCGCCCAAGCUUGCAAGUCGCCCAGGAUCUGAGCGAAUGGAAUGCCAUGCAGUCGCCUAGAGCUGCUACUCUAUUCUCGCCCAAACCUUCGAGUCGCCCAAGGUCUUAGCAAACAUGAAGUGUUAUGGUUAUCAAGAAGCGCAGUUAUCAAAGCAGUUAUUAAGCAGCCCUAUCACAUUCCACGAUUCAAGGAAUUCAAUCGAAAACGGUUGAAUGAAAAAGAGUAAUGGCAGCAGUUAAAAAAGGCAGUUCCAUGACAAGUUGGCCAUUACGAGGAAAGUGGGCAGUUAUAGAACGAUCAAGCAGUUUUUAGACUGUUGAUCACAAGGAGAUCAUCCAAG